This 493-nucleotide ribosomal RNA is filed under the name uncultured bacterium. RNAcentral describes it as "partial 16S ribosomal RNA". It matches the Rfam family "Bacterial small subunit ribosomal RNA", at positions 355 to 861 of the family's 1533-position model. The record is from RNAcentral.
UGGGGAAUAUUGCACAAUGGGCGAAAGCCUGAUGCAGCAACGCCGCGUGAGUGAUGAAGGUCUUCGGAUUUGUAAAGCUCUGUCUUUUGGGACGAUAAUGACGGUACCAAAGGAGGAAGCCACGGCUAACUACGUGCCAGCAGCCGCGGUAAUACGUAGGUGGCGAGCGUUGUCCGGAUUUACUGGGCGUAAAGGGUGCGUAGGCGGAUGUUUAAGUGAGAUGUGAAAUACCCGGGCUUAACUUGGGUGCUGCAUUUCAAACUGGAUAUCUAGAGUGCAGGAGAGGAGAAUGGAAUUCCUAGUGUAGCGGUGAAAUGCGUAGAGAUUAGGAAGAACACCAGUGGCGAAGGCGAUUCUCUGGACUGUAACUGACGCUGAGGCACGAAAGGCGUGGGUAGCAAACAGGAUUAGAUACCCUGGUAGUCCACGCCGUAAACGAUGAGUACUAGGUGUAGGAGGUAUCGACCCCUUCUGUGCCGCAGUAAAACACAUU